RNAcentral lists this unclassified non-coding RNA (1326 nucleotides) under Hevea brasiliensis (rubber tree). The record is from RNAcentral. Lineage: Eukaryota; Viridiplantae; Streptophyta; Magnoliopsida; Malpighiales; Euphorbiaceae.
GUGAGAUAAUUAGUGAAUUGUAGCAGCAAGAAGAAAACUAUAAUUUUCUCUAUAAUUUUACCUUCUUCACCAAAGACUGCCCAAUGCAUAUAGGAAUAAAAAUCAAGACUAGACUGUUAAUGGAAAUAGGGUUCAGAAGAUCAAUUUUGACAGCUAUUAAUCACAUAUUUAUAUCAGUUAAAAAAAUAUAACUAUUUGAUAAACAUGCAUCACUAUAAUUAUAAUUGCAAUCAACAGUCUUAAAUAUAGACACAUUCAAAUUUGAGUUAUAUCUCUUCCAAUGACGGGCGACCUGAUCCUAGCUCCGAUACUUUAAAACUCUGCCUUUUGGAAGGCUUUUUGGAAGCUUGCCCAAAAAAAUUAAAAUCUUCCUUUUAAGCAUCUUCAAUAAGAGACUUCCAUGUAAUGACUUAUUGCACAGGCGUGUCCCCAUGUGGCUCCGGAAUGCAACUUUUGUGGUCAAAGAGAAACUUUACACCACCUUUUCUUUUCUUGCCCGAAAGCUAUGUCCAUUUGGCUGCACUCAAACCUCCAGCUGCACUCAUCUCUGAUUGCUCAUUCUAAUAUGAUAAAUUGUUGGCUAGAAGAACUGGAAGGUAUUCCUAAGCAAGCUUCUAAUCGUUCAGAAUUAUUGCAAGUAGUGGCUUUCCUUCUCUGGCAGAUUUGGAAGUGUAGGAAUGCACUUAUCUUUAACCAGCACACUAUGAAUUUCUGAGAAGUUAUCGAUUUGGCUUUAAAAAUCAAGAAGAUUUCCAUUUGGCCAUCUCUCCAUCAGAUGAACAGUUAAGAAGUCAUCAAUCUCAAGAGCUAUUCUGGUCCCCUCCUCCAAUGAAUUUUAUCAAACUAAACUUUGAUGCUGCUGUGGACCAUAUCCACAAUAGAGGUGCUAUUGCAGUAGUGGUUCAAAACUGUAAUUGCUGCAGCAUUUGGCCCUCCAUUCGGGAACCACUUAUUCUCAAAAGCAUUGCUUGGAAAGAAGCAACACGGCUUGCUUGUACAACAGGUUUCUCGCAUAUCAUUGUGGAAGGAGACUCAUCUGUUGCUAUCAAAGCUAUCCAGAGUAAGGUAUAUCCUUUAGCCAUACAAGGGACUCUUCUCGAUGUUUUAGAGCUCUGGUCUUAUUUCGGGGAGAUUGAUACUCAGUUGUUCGUAGAGUUCACAACCAAGCAGCUCAUCUACUUGCUAUAUAUGAGGUGGGGUCGUAGUAAGGCGUGAGGCGAAAUAUCAUCCACUAGAAUUAUAUAAAAUGACCAGAUAAUGCGCAGGAAAGAUAAUAGAGUCACAAUGGUCUCACCUAAGUAUCACCUCCUUAGACAGCAUUUCCUA